CGGGAAAGUAGCUUGCUACUUUUGCCGGCGAGCGGCGGACGGGUGAGUAAUGCCUGGGAAAUUGCCCAGUCGAGGGGGAUAACAGUUGGAAACGACUGCUAAUACCGCAUACGCCCUACGGGGGAAAGCAGGGGACCUUCGGGCCUUGCGCGAUUGGAUAUGCCCAGGUGGGAUUAGCUAGUUGGUGAGGUAAUGGCUCACCAAGGCGACGAUCCCUAGCUGGUCUGAGAGGAUGAUCAGCCACACUGGAACUGAGACACGGUCCAGACUCCUACGGGAGGCAGCAGUGGGGAAUAUUGCACAAUGGGGGAAACCCUGAUGCAGCCAUGCCGCGUGUGUGAAGAAGGCCUUCGGGUUGUAAAGCACUUUCAGCGAGGAGGAAAGGUUGAUGCCUAAUACGUAUCAACUGGGACGUUACUCGGCAGAAGAACCACCGGCUA
RNAcentral lists this ribosomal RNA (440 nucleotides) under Aeromonas hydrophila. RNAcentral describes it as "bacterial SSU rRNA". It matches the Rfam family "Bacterial small subunit ribosomal RNA", at positions 67 to 499 of the family's 1533-position model. The record is from RNAcentral. Lineage: Bacteria; Pseudomonadati; Pseudomonadota; Gammaproteobacteria; Aeromonadales; Aeromonadaceae.